Molecule: ribosomal RNA, 497 nt
Filed under: uncultured bacterium
Lineage: Bacteria
Description: partial 16S ribosomal RNA
Rfam family: Bacterial small subunit ribosomal RNA
Source: RNAcentral
GAUGAACGCUGGCGGCGUGCCUAAUACAUGCAAGUCGAGCGAACGGACGAGAAGUUUGCUUCUCUGAUGUUAGCGGCGGACGGGUGAGUAACACGUGGAUAACCUACCUAUAAGACUGGGAUAACUUCGGGAAACCGGAGCUAAUACCGGAUGAUAUUUUGAACCGCAUGGUUCAAAAGUGAAAGACGGUCUUGCUGUCACUUAUAGAUGGAUCCGCGCUGCAUGAGCUAGUUGGGAAGGUAACGGCUUACCCAGGCAACGAUGCAUAGCCGACCUGAGGGGGUGAUUGGACAGACUGGAACUGAGACACGGUCGAGACUCCUACGGGAGGCAGCAGUAGGGAAUCUUCCGCGAUGGGGGAAAGGCUGACGGAGCAACGCCGGGUGAAUGAUGAUGGUCUUCGGAUCGUAAAACUCUGUUAGUAGGGAAGAACAUAUGUGUAUGUAACUGUGCACAUAUUGACGGUACCUAAUCAGAAAGCCACGGCUAACUACGUG